GAUGAACGCUGGCGGCGUGCCUAAUACAUGCAAGUCGAGCGAACGGACGAGAAGCUUGCUUCUCUGAUGUUAGCGGCGGACGGGUGAGUAACACGUGGAUAACCUACCUAUAAGACUGGGAUAACUUCGGGAAACCGGAGCUAAUACCGGAUAAUAUUUUGAACCGCAUGGUUCAAAAGUGAAAGACGGUCUUGCUGUCACUUAUAGAUGGAUCCGCGCUGCAUUAGCUAGUUGGUAAGGUAACGGCUUACCAAGGCAACGAUGCAUAGCCGACCUGAGAGGGUGAUGGGCAACACUGGAACUGAGAAAGGGUCCAGACUCCGAGGGGAGGCAGCAGUAGGGAAUCUUCCGCAAGGGGCGAAAGCCUGACGGAGCAACGCGGCGUGAGUGAUGAAGGUCUUCGGAUCGUAAAACUCUGUUAUUAGGGAGGAACAUAUGUGUAAGUAACUGUGCACAUCUUGACGGUACCUAAUCAGAAAGCCACGGCUAACUACGUG
RNAcentral lists this ribosomal RNA (497 nucleotides) under uncultured bacterium. RNAcentral describes it as "partial 16S ribosomal RNA". It matches the Rfam family "Bacterial small subunit ribosomal RNA", at positions 28 to 507 of the family's 1533-position model. The record is from RNAcentral.